RNAcentral lists this long non-coding RNA (4085 nucleotides) under Gallus gallus (chicken). Lineage: Eukaryota; Metazoa; Chordata; Aves; Galliformes; Phasianidae. The record is from RNAcentral.
CUCAUCUCAACCCAAGCUGCUCAGCAGCGUCCUUUUUCUCUGUGAUUUACAGAGUAAGGACCAGACCGGGGGCCACGAGGGGCCGGCUUGUGCCUGCAGUGCUUUGAAGGAUGUUUGUGUUCGGUGGGCUGAUGCGUAUCGAAUGCAAGCCAGCUCCCACUGCCGGCUCUGCCAGCCCCGUGGUGCUGCCCUUUGACGGAUAGAGCCUCCCCUCCCCGAAUUUCUGAUUUCACACUGAUGCACAAACAUUCUUUGGCAACUUGAGCCCAUUGUAUUACAGCGGUUACAUUCCUUAAGCAUGUGCCCCUGAGAACGCAGCGGUGAUAUUUAUUACAGAAGUAUCAAUGCGGUAGCAACGCUGUGGGUAUCUGGCCGUGGCUGCACGGUCCCACAAGACUUUGAGAUGGCAACAAAGCGCCUUCAGGCUGCAGAUUGGCCACGCCACAAGCAGCGCAGGGCCGAGGAAGUGCUGCAGGUCCCUGUGUGUGCAACAAAGCAACACUCGCGUGGCCCAGAGGCACUCUGAUGUCCCGCUUGCAGCAUGCUGUAGGGCUCAGCUGCUGGACCCGAGAAUGCCCACUGGGUCCGGCAGCAGCUUGGGGAAGAAAGGUCCCAGGAAGGGAAGCAGCUUUGGCAAAUGCAAGGGUUUAAUUGUUCUUUGCUAAGUGGGAGAGCUGGAGCAGGGCGGCGUUGCUGGGAUCUGUAACAAUUCUGCGUCUGAUCCGCAAGCCUUUGCUUCAGAAACUGCGUGAUGUAGUCGCUUGUGAGUUAAGAUCUAGUUUCAAAUGUCUGAAGUUAUUAUUGAUGCUUGAAAAGGUUACAUCUGCAACUCAUUUUCUAUGUCAUUGACGUUCUUCUCUGACAAAUAAUUUCAGAAAUAUGCAGCAAAAUGUUUUGGCCUACGAAUGCUGCAGCUCACCAAGUGUGCAGACCACAUCUUUACACAUUUGGUAAGAAGAAACUUAACUCCUCACGUGCUCUCGCUGCUCUGCGUGCCUCGGCACGAGCCACAGCAGCCCUCCUGCUCAGCCCAUCCUCACUGAUGGCGGGAGGCACGGGGGUCCCAGCCCCAUUGGUGGCCAGAGCCCAACAUCCUACAGCGUGUGGAUGAGCUGGCACAUCCCUCGUUGCACGGUGAAAACCCAAGGGAAUAAAGCAGGCUGCGAUUCGACCCAGAGCCACAUGGACGCCCUCCCAGCUGGCAUCCCCAGGCAGCACUGUGCUGCCCUUGGUGCCGACUGCCUCCUGGACUCCAAGGACCAUCUCCUGGCUCACAGCUGGGCAGGCUCCCACUCGGAGCUGCUGCACUGGGCAGGCUCGCUGGCAGCAGCACUCACCUGCACCUAAGUGAGAGCACGAGGCCUGGAUGCCUGCUAGACCUGGUUGGCCCUGGCAGGAGGCAGGAUGGACACGACUGUCAGCCUUUGUCUGCAGGCAGGUGCACCGUGGUCACGCUGAUGGAGAGAGUGAGGGAGGGUGUAUAUAGGUUUGUAGGGGGUAUACUGGGGGCGUGUUCCAUGCUGAGAGGGCUGAUUCAGUUGCAUAAAUGCCAGCAGCCUGCUGCUUUCACAGAGAUUGCCUCCCAGACGUGUUCUCUGGAGAGAGGGUGGACAGCAUAGGGUGAUGGAGAUGCUGACUAUCCCUUCCUGAGGUCAGGACCCUCUCCUUAUCCAGCAGUGGUACAGAUGGGGUAGCAGCAGCAGCAGCAAGGGUCUCCCUGGGUUCUGCUCCUGUUCAGCCUCUAAGGUCACAGUGGGCUGGGUGUGAGAGGCAGGGACCUGACCAGACACAUCCAGCUGUGGCAAAUGCAUCCCUGUGUGGUUCCCCAAGAAGGGCCAUGUAGGGUUUUAUUCGCAGCCCAGCCCGGGCUCAGCAUGGAGAACAGGGCUGGCAGGGCUGCACUGGGGAGGGAAUGGAGUAACCUACAGCUGGGGAAGCUGAGGCAGGGGUCUGAAAUGCCAUGUGCCCUCUGCAGAGUUCUUCCAGGGCGUAGCAGUGCCAUGUGCAGGGCUUCAGCCCUAUUGUCAGGGGCUCUGAGUGCUGCAUGGAAAAGAAGUUAUUUUAAGGGCAAGAAUUUGUCUCCAGGGGUCUUCAUGCCAGCACCGUGGCCUUUUCCUUUCCUCUGUGCACCCCAUGCUUCUGCUUGUGUGCUUAGCUCCUGCCUGGUCUGGUGUGGAGGCCUUUGUGGACCACGGGGAUGGCCUGUGAUAGUAAGAAAAUGGGUCCAUCAAAUGCAAGUGGGUCCAUUUUGUCCAUGGAGAUGCGUUGUCUUUCCUCCCGAGGCCUGCUGGGGGUCACCCCCGCUUGGUGCAGCACAGGAUCUCAGGCAUUUUCUGUAAAAGCUCUCUGCUAUCAUCAGCAUUAACAGCUGGGAGCUGCAAAGUGCUCUGGGAUUGCCACGAAGUGUAGUGGAAGUGUGAGAGCUGAUGAAUCUGUUGCCCAGGAGGGAGAUUGUAGAGCUGCUCAUUUACCUUUGUUAGGCAGCAAGCGGCUUGUCUGGGCACAGCCAUGCCGUGGUGAAGAGUUGAAGGGCCCCAGCAGUGCCUGCUGACAGCUCCAGCACAACAGGGGGUGGGGGAUUUCCCUGCAGCAGCCCCAAACCAUGGAUCCAGAGCAGUGCUUGUGAGAACCCUGGGAUGCACUCCUGACUCGUGGAAUGAACCUCUGCCGUGCAAUGGGGAGGGCUUGCCGAGGUAUCUCCUGCAACUCACUACCCAAAGGAGAGAGGCACCACAUACUUCUCCCUGUCUGAUCUGUAAGAUGCCACUGCAGUCAUUAUGGCUUUUUUGUCCUGGUUUUUUUUUUUUUGCUCUUAAUGUGUGAAUGCACUCCGUUCAAGGCUAAGCUUUCCAUUAAGCCACAUAAAGUUGAAAUGCCCACGGAAAGCAAAACGGCCACCUGCCCUAAGCUAAAAACCUGAGGCUGUGCAGAUUCUCCUCCCAGUCUCUACAGAGCAGCUCUCACUGCUGCUGGGUUGGUCGGUGUGGGUCCGGUGGCAGCGUGGUGUCCUUGGAGCCCAUCUGGUGCUGCUCCCACUGCCAUUCCCCGUGAGUGCUGGGCAUGUGCCAGAGGGCUGCAAGUGAGGGCUGCUGUGUGGUGUUCCAUCACAUCCACACUUCUUGGUGUCCCCAUGGUGUGAGCCCGGCCGGUGUGGCCUCGGGGCUCCUCCUGAGGCAGCGGCGGUCUAAAAACACUGAUGAAAAGCUGAUUAAUCCUUGUAAGUGAGCAGCUAUAGCUCCUCUCCAGAACCGAAGAGAUUACCACUGAUUUGUCAUCCUGAUUGUUUCAGCGAGAGGUGCAAUUAGUUGCUCUAAUUUAGCUUCGCUGCUCGCUGAGUGGCAUGACAACUGAGAUGCAAUCAGGAGCUCCGCACGCAACGCAGCCACCGAUGGGUGCAGCUGUGCCCACCACCAUUUUGCACACUGAGGGUGGGCCCAAAAUGGUGGAGUGCCGUGUGCUCAUAUGUGUGUGUGUGUGUGUGUGUGUGUGUGUGUUCGACUCUGAGACCAGCAGGGCUCCCUAUGGAGCAGGCUCUAAGGCACGGGGUCGUGGCUGAGCACCCUGGAGGAUGCUGAGCACACCAUUGCCAGGUGCAAUAAAAUUAAUACUAGCUACGGGAGAGGCUGCACAUUUUGCUCAAGGCCCUGUCUGAGUCCAGUUGUUGGUUUGGAAGAGGAGCCGAGCUGCCAAGGGAAGCCCGGAGUGUGGGGCACCCGAUGGGCUGGCGCUCCCACUCCAGGCAGAGGGGAGGGAACGCAGCGGUUGUAUGUCCAUGUCCUGCAAAACAAAAGAAUCUAAAAUGAACAAAAUAAAGACGAUGCUUUAAAAACAAAAAUGCCCUCAGGCUGUUUCUUGGUUUGAAGCUGUCUUUUUUUUUUUUUUUCCUCCCUCUCCCAGGCAUUUUGUUUGCAGAGCGAGCUGGCCGUGCUCGCCAACCCGUGGCUGUGUGCAGGCCCCUGGCCAAGCGCGGUGCAGCUGCUGGGCUCGUGUUCCCCGUGUCACCCCAAGGUCAUGCAUCGCCCCAGUCCCUCUGCUUGGCCGUCAGCUGUUGUCCACCACACAGCAGGCAGCACUGUCCUGCCUUC